Long non-coding RNA from Oncorhynchus tshawytscha (Chinook salmon), 1129 nucleotides. The record is from Ensembl. NCBI's taxonomy places the organism in Eukaryota, Metazoa, Chordata, Actinopteri, Salmoniformes, Salmonidae.
GCCCUUUGGUGAUGGUGGAAAAUAUAUAUUGUUUUUAUUUAUUCACAGAUGAGCUAUGUACAGGUGCAGUGAUCUGUGAGCUGCUCUGACAGCUGGUGCUUAUAGCUAGUGAGGGAGACAUGAGUCUCCAGCUUCAGCGAUUUUUGCAGUUCGUUCCAGUCAUUGGCAGCAGAGAACGGGAAGGAAAGGCGGCCGAAGGAGAGGGCCAGCCAACGAGAGCAUACAGGUCACUGUGGUGGGUGGUAUAAGGGGCCUUGGUAACAAAACGGAUGGCACUGUGAAAGACUGCUUCCAGUUUGCUGAGUAGAGUAUUGGAAGCUAUUUUGUAGAUGACAUCGCCGAAGUCAAGGAUCGCUAGGAUAGUCAGUUUUACUAGGAGGACCUGAGCCCUAGGAUUAUGCCUCAGGACUACCUGGCCUGAUGACUCCUGUCUGUCCCCAGUCCGCUUGGUCUUGCUGCUGCUCCAGUUCAGUUUCAACCUUUCAGCCUGUGGCUAGGAAACCCUGACCUGUUCACCGGACGUGCUACCUUGUCUUGGACAUGCUGUUCAUUUUCUCUCUCUCUCUCUCUCUCUCUCUCUCAUAUAUAUAUACUGUAUAUACUGCUGUCUCAACCUCCGAAUGCUAUGAAAAACUCUUGAGCUGUUGACCUGUUGUACCCUCUACAACCACUGAUUAUUAUUUGACCCUGCUGGUCAUCUAUGAAUGUUUGCUGUGUUUCUGUAUAACACUUUGUGACAUCUGCUGAUGUAAAAAAAAAAAAGGACUUUAUAAAUACAUAUGAUUGAUUGAUUGAUUUGAUCUCUCUUUACUUAGCUCCGUUCAUCUUUACCUCGAUCCUGACUAUUCUCCCAGUACCUGCCUCUGAAAAAUAUCCCGCAGCAUGAUGCUGCCACCACCAUGCUUCACUGUAGGAAUGGUGCCCUGUUUCCUCCAGAAGGGACUCUUUCCUGUACUCCCUGUUCACCCACGACUGCGUGGCCAUGCACGCCUCCAACUCAAUCAUCAAGUUUGCGGACGACACAACAAUGGUAGGCUUGAUUACCAACAACGACGAGACGGCCUACAGGGAGGAGGUGAGGGCCCUCGGAGUGUGGUGUCAGGAAAAUAACCUCACACUCAACGUCAAC